Molecule: ribosomal RNA, 498 nt
Filed under: uncultured bacterium IAFESB3
Lineage: Bacteria; Pseudomonadati; Bacteroidota
Description: bacterial SSU rRNA
Rfam family: Bacterial small subunit ribosomal RNA
Source: RNAcentral
GAUGAACGCUAGCGGCAGGCCUAACACAUGCAAGUCGAGGGGUAACAGGGUGCUUGCACCGCUGACGACCGGCGCACGGGUGCGUAACGCGUAUACAAUCUACCUUUUACAGAGAGAUACCCCAGAGAAAUUUGGAAUAAUACCUCAUAAUAUUAUUGCUCGGCAUCGAGUGACAAUUAAAGUUUCGGCGGUAAAAGAUGAGUAUGCGUCCUAUUAGCUAGUUGGUAAGGUAACGGCUUACCAAGGCAACGAUAGGUAGGGGUCCUGAGAGGGAGAUCCCCCACACUGGUACUGAGACACGGACCAGACUCCUACGGGAGGCAGCAGUGAGGAAUAUUGGUCAAUGGGCGAAAGCCUGAACCAGCCAUGCCGCGUGCAGGAAGACUGCCCUAUGGGUUGUAAACUGCUUUUAUACAGGAAGAAACACUCGGACGUGUCCGAGCUUGACGGUACUGUAUGAAUAAGCACCGGCUAACUCCGUGCCAGCCGCCGCGGUAA